GACAUCUCUAUUUGUAAGUGACUCUGGAUAAGAGUGUCUGCUAAAUGCCAGAAA
Molecule: regulatory RNA element, 54 nt
Organism: Astyanax mexicanus (Mexican tetra)
Lineage: Eukaryota; Metazoa; Chordata; Actinopteri; Characiformes; Acestrorhamphidae
Rfam family: UnaL2 LINE 3' element
About the family: The eel long interspersed element (LINE) UnaL2 and its partner short interspersed element (SINE) share a conserved 3' tail containing a stem-loop that is critical for their retrotransposition. Presumably, the first step of retrotransposition is the recognition of their 3' tails by UnaL2-encoded reverse transcriptase. The solution structure of a 17-nucleotide RNA derived from the 3' tail of UnaL2 was determined by NMR.
Source: Rfam